Molecule: ribosomal RNA, 507 nt
Filed under: uncultured bacterium
Lineage: Bacteria
Description: partial 16S ribosomal RNA
Rfam family: Bacterial small subunit ribosomal RNA
Source: RNAcentral
GACGAACGCUGGCGGCGUGCCUAAUACAUGCAAGUCGAACGCUUCUUUCCUCCCGAGUGCUUGCACUCAAUUGGAAAGAGGAGUGGCGGACGGGUGAGUAACACGUGGGUAACCUACCCAUCAGAGGGGGAUAACACUUGGAAACAGGUGCUAAUACCGCAUAACAGUUUAUGCCGCAUGGCAUAAGAGUGAAAGGCGCUUUCGGGUGUCGCUGAUGGAUGGACCCGCGGUGCAUUAGCUAGUUGGUGAGGUAACGGCUCACCAAGGCCACGAUGCAUAGCCGACCUGAGAGGGUGAUCGGCCACACUGAGACUGAGACACGGCCCAGACUCCUACGGGAGGCAGCAGUAGGGAAUCUUCGGCAAUGGACGAAAGUCUGACCGAGCAACGCCGCGUGAGUGAAGAAGGUUUUCGGAUCGUAAAACUCUGUUGUUAGAGAAGAACAAGGACGUUAGUAACUGAACGUCCCCUGACGGUAUCUAACCAGAAAGCCACGGCUAACUACGU